This 783-nucleotide non-coding RNA is filed under the name Bombyx mori (domestic silkworm). Lineage: Eukaryota; Metazoa; Arthropoda; Insecta; Lepidoptera; Bombycidae. The record is from RNAcentral.
AAUAAAAUUAUUUAUGGUUUAAAAAUUUAUUAUAAAUUUAUUUUACAUAUAAAUUUUAGUGUUAAUUUUUAAUUUAUUUAAAUAAUAAUUAAUAUUUAUUUGUAGUAAUUAGAAUUAAAAAUUUAAGUAAUUAAGAUUUAGUAAUAUUUAAAUUAAUAACAAAUUUUGUGCCAGCAGUUGCGGUUAUACAAAAAUUAAAUUAAAUUUUUUUAGGGAUUAAUUAAUAAUAGAUUAUAUAAUAAAAUUAAAAUUUAAAUUAUUAAGUGAAAUUUUAAUUUAUGAAAAUUUUAUAUUGAGUUAUGAAUUAAAAAAUUUUAUUAAAAACUAGGAUUAGAUACCCUAUUAUUAAAAAUUUAAAUUAAUAAUACUAAAAUAGUAUAUAAUUAUUUAUAAAAACUUAAAUAAUUUGGCGGUAUUUUAGUUUAUUUAGAGGAAUCUGUUUAUUAAUUGAUAUUCCACGAAUAAAUUUACUUAAUUUAUUUAAUUUUGUAUAUCGUUGUUAAAAAAAUAUUUUAAAAUAAUAAUAAUAUUUUAAUUUUUAUAUUAAAAGUUAAAUCAGAUCAAGAUGCAGAUUAUAAUUAAGAAUAUAAUGGAUUACAAUAAAUUUAUUUAAUUGGAUGUUAUUUUUAAAAAUUAAUUGAAAUUGGAUUUAAAUGUAAUUUUAUUUAAUUUAUUAAAAUGAUUUUAAUUUAAAAUAUGUACAUAUUGCCCGUCGCUUUCAUUAAUAAAUUGAAAUAAGUCGUAACAAAGUAGAGGUACUGGAAAGUGUUUCUAGAAAGAGUA